GCAGCGAUAGCUCAGUUGGUAGAGCACCGGUUUGAAGAGCCGGGUGUCGCCGGUUCGACUCCGGCUCGCUGCACCA
Molecule: transfer RNA, 76 nt
Filed under: Acidithiobacillus ferrivorans
Lineage: Bacteria; Pseudomonadati; Pseudomonadota; Acidithiobacillia; Acidithiobacillales; Acidithiobacillaceae
Description: tRNA-Phe
Rfam family: tRNA
About the family: Transfer RNA (tRNA) molecules are approximately 80 nucleotides in length. Their secondary structure includes four short double-helical elements and three loops (D, anti-codon, and T loops).
Source: RNAcentral